UGAGUCGGCCAGGUAACCGCAGCAGAGCUUGCUUUGUUGAGGAAGGUCGGGGCUCCACAGGACAGGAUGCUGGCUAACAGCCAGUCGGGGUGACCCGCAGGAAAGUGCCACAGAGAACAGACCGCCGAUGGCUCGGCCCCAGGUUCGCUUGGGAAAACGAGCACAGGUAAGGGUGAAACGGUGCGGUAAGAGCGCACCAGCAGCCAAGGCAACUUGGCUGGCUAGGCAAACCCCAUCCGGAGCAAGGCCAAAGAGGGAGAGAGCGGUCCGUUCGUUGACACUCCCGGGUAGGCCGCAAAGAUGGAUGGUUGCCCAACCGGAUACCCGCAAGGGUCCGGCAGACAGAACCCCGCCUAUUGCCGACUCGCCAU
RNAcentral lists this RNase P RNA (371 nucleotides) under Acidimicrobiales bacterium. Its description in RNAcentral is "RNase P RNA component class A". It matches the Rfam family "Bacterial RNase P class A". Rfam says of the family: Ribonuclease P (RNase P) is a ubiquitous endoribonuclease, found in archaea, bacteria and eukarya as well as chloroplasts and mitochondria. Its best characterised activity is the generation of mature 5'-ends of tRNAs by cleaving the 5'-leader elements of precursor-tRNAs. Lineage: Bacteria; Bacillati; Actinomycetota; Acidimicrobiia; Acidimicrobiales. The record is from RNAcentral.